UACGUAGGGGGCUAGCGUUGUCCGGAUUUAUUGGGCGUAAAGCGCGUGUAGGCGGCCAGGUAGGUCUGCUGUGAAAACUCGAGGCUCAACCUCGAGACGUCGGCGGAAACUAUCUGGCUAGAGUCCGGAAGAGGAGAGUAGAAUUCCUGGUGUAGCGGUGAAAUGCGCAGAUAUCAGGAAGAACACCAGUGGCGAAGGCGGCUCUCUGGGAUGGUACUGACGCUGAGACGCGAAAGCGUGGGGAGCGAACAGG
Molecule: ribosomal RNA, 253 nt
Filed under: uncultured bacterium
Lineage: Bacteria
Description: partial 16S ribosomal RNA
Rfam family: Bacterial small subunit ribosomal RNA
Source: RNAcentral